RNAcentral lists this unclassified non-coding RNA (218 nucleotides) under Hevea brasiliensis (rubber tree). Lineage: Eukaryota; Viridiplantae; Streptophyta; Magnoliopsida; Malpighiales; Euphorbiaceae. The record is from RNAcentral.
GUCCCACCGAAGACGAUCAUAAGCUUUUCCAAUUCCACUUUAAUUGCCAUAGAAUCUCUCCUCCCAGUCUUUGCUCUCAUAUGAUGAAUUAAUUCCUGAGCAAUAACUACAUUGUUUUUUUUUUUUUUUUUUUUUUUUUUUUUUGAAAUAAGCAAUAACUAUAUUGUUAGUAAUAUGUUGUCUUGCAAUAAAACCUGUCAGGCUCAUCAAACAAGGCA